This 497-nucleotide ribosomal RNA is filed under the name uncultured bacterium. RNAcentral describes it as "partial 16S ribosomal RNA". It matches the Rfam family "Bacterial small subunit ribosomal RNA", at positions 28 to 507 of the family's 1533-position model. The record is from RNAcentral.
GACGAACGCUGGCGGCGUGCCUAAUACAUGCAAGUUGAGCGAUGAAGAUUGGUGCUUGCACCCAUUUGAAGAGCAGCGAACGGGUGAGUAACGCGUGGGGAAUCUGCCUUUGAGCGGGGGACAACAUUUGGAAACGAAUGCUAAUACCGCAUAACAACUUUAAACAUAAGUUUUAAGUUUGAAAGAUGCAAUUGCAUCACUCAAAGAUGAUCCCGCGUUGUAUUAGCUAGUUGGUGAGGUAAAGGCUCACCAAGGCGAUGAUACAUAGCCGACCUGAGAGGGUGAUCGGCCACAUUGGGACGGGGACACGGCCCAAACUCCUACGGGAGGCAGCAGUAGGGGAUCCUCGGGAAUGGACGAAAGUCUGACCGAGCAACGCCGCGUGAGUGAAGAAGGUUGUCGGAUCGUAAAACUCUGUUGGUAGAGAAGAACGUUGGUGAGAGUGGAAAGCUCAUCAAGUGACGGUAACUACCCAGAAAGGGACGGCUAACUACGUG